CUCGCUGUAGCUCAGUGGACAGAGCCCUUGGAGUAUCUCUGGGGAGACGCCGGUUCGACUCCGGCCAGCGAGUCCG
RNAcentral lists this transfer RNA (76 nucleotides) under Cryptosporangium phraense. RNAcentral's name for it is "Cryptosporangium sp. A-T 5661 tRNA-OTHER". It matches the Rfam family "tRNA". Rfam says of the family: Transfer RNA (tRNA) molecules are approximately 80 nucleotides in length. The record is from RNAcentral. Lineage: Bacteria; Bacillati; Actinomycetota; Actinomycetes; Cryptosporangiales; Cryptosporangiaceae.